CAAAGCAGAAAAUUCAGACACUUCUCCCUCAGCAUCGCAUCACCUCUAAUUUAAGCAGACAGUAAAAGAGAUAGCUAUUUGGCUGGGAACCCACUCCAUACGGGAGCCUGUCACUUUAACUGUGGGCAUUUUCCUGCCUUAACAACAACCUGUUAUGUGUUUAUCCUGGUUAUGACUCCAAUUAAAUCACGAUUUAAGAAGGGCACCAAGUACCAACAGGUGCCGAGAACAUUAAGUUAUACUGCAACCGGCAAUCGCUCUACGCUGGGGUGGUUUCAGAUGCACCCUUCCCUUUCUAGCAGCCCAAUUCCUGCUGCUUUACCUUGCUUGAAGAAAAAAAAAUAAGAAAACAAUCGAGGAGAAAAGCCUAUCAAGAGUCUUAAUUUAAGCACCCCUUCUCUUCUGCUUGCCACAGGAUACAGGGAAGGGCUGAGGGCUUCAAGAACGGGAUCCUGCCCAAGAAGUGAAAGCCUGAGCAGCGAGUUGCCCCUUCGGGAGGAGGGCAGCAUUGCCAACCACCACCUCUGUCCUCAGGCAGCCCCCGUUGUCCUCGGGCAUCCCUCCCUCGCUGCCGGCACUCACACAGAGGGAGCAAACCUGGAGCCUCCAAGCUGCUACCACCUUCUCCCAGAGCGAUCCAGCGGCGAGGUGCGAGCUCCGCAUGCGCCCAACCCUCCGAAGGAGGCACUCAGCACCUUGCGGGAUUUACUCCCUUGGCUUCCAGAUUAACAGUCUGCUCAACCUGCUCCGGGUACAACAGGGCCGGGAUGUCAAGCUAGAACAGGCACUCUGCUCCAAGCCGUCUUAACCGAAUUCAUACUCUACAGUUUCAUCUCAAUGACCAUCGCAAUUAUAUGAUUAAGCAGGUGCACUGCGCUUUCAGGUCUGUUCAACAAGCCCGAGCUUCAAUAGCCUCCGCGAUCAAACUGACAAGGCAACAAUGGAAGAGUGAACUUACAGUUCCAGCCAAGAGCCCGUCCUUUCGGGGGGGGAAAAAAAAUCCAGCCGCCAGCAAAGAUGCCGCAUUCAGCUCUAAAAGCAGCAAGAUGAUACCCUUGAAAGUUGUCAUUUAGGUAACAAAGAUGAUUUAUUUAUUUUUUUCCUCCAGUUGGUUUGGUUUUGGCAGAACGAUCUGUGGAUUUAAAGUUCUCGUAACGGCAGGUAGCACUACACGUUCUGAGCUGCGUUUAACUGGAUUUUAUUUAUAAGCCACAACCUGUGCCAGCAUUUCUGACUGCUUCGGGGGAAGGGGGGGGCUCUCACAGUUCUGAAACGGGGCCGUCACCACGUCUUUGUGCGUUUUGAAGCACCACCACGCGAUUACCCUCAUCCCUGGAGACCUCAUUAAAACAGAGCCCCAGAAGUGGAGCAGAAAGAAGUGUAGCGUGACAUUUUAAAAUUUACAUUCUGACUCGUAAAAGUUUCCAGAAAUGUCUAUCUUUUUUUAAAAGAAAAAAAACAAGAUGAAAAAACAACAACAAAACACCAGCAAACCCUACCAAAACAAGACAUUCCAGUGCACAUGCUCUUCCCCUGGGGCCAGGCCAAAGAGAACAAUGCCACGUGACCGUCCUAUUGCUCAAUGCGACUCUUGGAAGGUGUUCAAGUAGGAUGAUAAGUGCGGUGUAAGCCUAUAAUGAACAUAAAAAGGAAUUUAUCCCAAAUGUAAA
Chroicocephalus ridibundus (black-headed gull) is the source of this 1670-nucleotide long non-coding RNA. RefSeq lists it as uncharacterized. The transcript has 2 exons. Lineage: Eukaryota; Metazoa; Chordata; Aves; Charadriiformes; Laridae. The record is from RefSeq and is a predicted model, not a curated record.